CAAGAGUAUUAUCCAGUUCUUCUCCCAUUUCAUGUAUUUUCUAUGAGCAUCAUAUUCUAUGAAAGUAGUAGUAUUUGAGUUUAUGACUGCGUCCAUCAUCCUUCCAACAAAUUGGUAUCAGAGCAAGAUCGAUCCUAAAGUAACUAUCAAAGCAUAGGGUUGAUUCUAUAGCAACUCACAGAGCCUAAGAGCUAUAAAGCC
Molecule: long non-coding RNA, 201 nt
Filed under: Elaeis guineensis (African oil palm)
Lineage: Eukaryota; Viridiplantae; Streptophyta; Magnoliopsida; Arecales; Arecaceae
Description: long non-coding RNA (EGUI_LNC006331)
Source: RNAcentral